This 232-nucleotide unclassified non-coding RNA is filed under the name Cladosporium aciculare. RNAcentral's name for it is "partial internal transcribed spacer region". The stretch from base 1 to 46 matches the Rfam family "Eukaryotic small subunit ribosomal RNA", at positions 1786 to 1831 of the family's 1831-position model. The record is from RNAcentral. Lineage: Eukaryota; Fungi; Ascomycota; Dothideomycetes; Cladosporiales; Cladosporiaceae.
AAGUCGUAACAAGGUCUCCGUAGGUGAACCUGCGGAGGGAUCAUUACAAGUGACCCCCGGAUUACCUCCGGGAUGUUCAUAACCCUUUGUUGUCCGACUCUGUUGCCUCCGGGGCGACCCUGCCUUCUGGCGGGGGCCCCGGGUGGACAAAUUCAAACUCUUGCGUAACUUUGCAGUCUGAGUAAAUUUAAUUAAUAAAUUAAAACUUUCAACAACGGAUCUCUUGGUUCUG